CAAAUAUCUUGUGAGGCUUAUGUUUAUUUUUUAAUGGGUGAAGCAGAGCAACAGCACAAAAAAUAUCUGGAGCAUUACAGGAACGCACUAGAUCUCUACAAGCUGGUGGGAUUCGCUGAGGAAUGAAGAAAAUGAAAAGAGCAUUUCAAAUUUAUCCUUAUUGUACAUAGCUGGUGGGAUUCCUUUAUUAAGAAUAUUUCCCCACACCUAGCCAUGCAUAUAUUUGAUAUUUUGUAAAAAUGCAGGGGGGGCAUUGAGACUGCUGGAUGAUAUUACCUGGCAUUUUGUGUUACCAUAUAUUGGGGCAUUAAUGCAGGGACAAGAGGGUGAGGCUGCAGCUGAGGAAGCAAAGAAGAGCAAUCACGUCCAGAGGAGAGCAGUUCAAAGCGGAUCCUUUUAACUUGUUACUGAUAUCAUCUUGAGAUCAAUGGCUCUUAUGCUAAGUGAACUUUUACGAGUCAAUAUUUCACCAUCCCAGUUGCAUGAACCGAGGGUGCGGAGACUGGAUGCAGCUAGCUUAGAUUAAGAUGAAAGGAAGUGUUGUGAUCAGGUGUUAGGCAGUGGCAAUUGCAACUAUAAUGAAACCAUGGUAUUUAAAUUUUUUUUUCAGUCUGUCCAUAAGAUACAUAAGGGCACGCAUAGAUAUAGUAUUCCACUUCAUAUUUCCUUUGUGAUGUUUAGCACUGACAGCAAGGUCUACUCUUUAAUGUUUAGCACUGCUGGCUAGAUCGAGCUUUGUCAAUCUGGUUUAUGCAGAUUUCAGCAAUUAAUAAGUGAGAUCGACACUUUGUGUGAAAUAUAUAUUUACCAUUUUGGACUA
This is a long non-coding RNA of Panicum virgatum (switchgrass), 820 nucleotides long. RefSeq lists it as uncharacterized. The transcript has 5 exons. NCBI's taxonomy places the organism in Eukaryota, Viridiplantae, Streptophyta, Magnoliopsida, Poales, Poaceae. The record is from RefSeq and is a predicted model, not a curated record.